GGAGGGUGCAAGCGUUGUUCGGAAUUAUUGGGCGUAAAGAGCGUGUAGGCGGUCCGGUAAGUCAGAUGUGAAAGCCCUGGGCUCAACCCAGGAAGUGCAUUUGAAACUACCAGACUUGAGUACGGGAGAGGAGGGGGGGAAUUCCCGGUGUAGAGGUGAAAUCGUAGAUAUCGGGAGGAAUACCAGUGGCGAAGGCGCCCCUCUGGACCGAUACUGACGCUGAGACGCGAAAGCGUGGGGAGCAAACAGGAUUAGAUACCUGGGCAGUCCACGCCGUAAACGAUGAGCACUAGGUGUAGCGGGUAUUGACCCCCCUGCUGUGCCCGUAGCUAACGCAUUAAGUGCUCCGCCUGGGGACUACGGUCGCAAGACUA
This 374-nucleotide ribosomal RNA is filed under the name uncultured organism. RNAcentral's name for it is "partial 16S ribosomal RNA". It matches the Rfam family "Bacterial small subunit ribosomal RNA", at positions 527 to 896 of the family's 1533-position model. The record is from RNAcentral.